UUGGGUGUGGCAGGACAGGAAACAGCUGAUGGGUUUUCAAACAAGAGGGCUACCAUUUCCUUGUCUGCCCUGCUUAGCUGAGAUGUCGUUCUUCUCCAUCAUCCUGACUUUUGGUCAAAGCCUAACAUCAGUGCUGCUUGUACCGCCCCUGACCCUGCUCCUCCACACCCCUCAGGGGCCCAGGACCCCGACCAGACAAUCAAGAGAGAAAACUGUGAAGCUAAACAUCUCCUGUAGGCUUCGCACACGACCCUUGGGUUAGAGAACAAGAGGGCAAGGUCAGCCUUCAGGAGCUCACGGUCAGCUACAACUGUACGAGCUUCUCAUGGUUUAUGAGCAAUUUCCCACACUGAUUUUGUUAGACACUCACCUCCAUCUGUGAGGCACGUUUCAUGGUUCCCAUUUUGCAGGUAAGGAGAUUGAGGCUCAGAAAGUUACAAAGUGGCUCCCAAGUCUCCUGCUCUGUGAUGUUUCUUUUGUAGUUCAAGGUGUUUAAGUGAUACCAGAAAGUAACGGACAAGACAUUGAUUAAGGGAGCUGCUGUCUUUGUGAAGUGUCCUUGAAUUAAGAUAAGACUCAGUUGGGCCACAGAAUCUUAACUGGCCCCCCUAGGGUCUCACCAGGCUCAGAGAGACUGGAGAGAACACCGGCCAGCUGAGCAUACAACCUGGGAGUCCUAGACCCUGAGAGCUGAGAACACUGCCCUCCCCUCAACCCCUAAUAACCAGGCAGAGGCGGGGGAAUGGGUGUCGUGGAGGUGGGGACAGAGUUAUUGAGGAGCAAGGGUGAGGAGGAACAGCCUGGGAGCUGAGGCUUGGCCAUGACCCCUAGUUGUCAGUACACAGAUGCACUUUCCUGAUUCCAGCCUGCCUUGGGAAAGCCUCAGCCUUCUCUGAGUCUCUGCUCCCCAGCUCUCUCCAAACUAAGGACCCUCCAGUUUUCAACUAAGUGAUACCCACUCUGCUGCCCCCAGGUGACCUUCACUUACUCUUCCUCCCGGCAGUGUCCCCUCCUCUUCAGCCCCAGCUGCCCUAGCUGCUUCCUUACUCUUGGAAUCUGCGGUCUCAGGCCUGCUCUGCCCUCUGACUCAGGCAGCUCUGACCUUUGGGAUCUGAGCUGGUGGCCUGGGUGGUUUUGCACCAUGAACUUGCACUGACCUUUAGCAUGUCCCCCUGUCCCAUCCCUCCUCCCUGCACACACUUGUCCCCAGUCCUUGGGCAGCCCAGGAAAUGUGAAGGACCAGGUUUUUCAGAGAAGGUAGCAGCACUGAGGGGUUUCUCAUCCGAUAUCAGAGGGCCUAGAGAAGGCAAAUGGGGACAGCCCUUCCACCCCUCCAGCCCCUCUCCUGGUAACAGACCAUUCUGGGGAUGCUGGAGAUGCUCCCCUCAUCCCAUCUCCCAGGCUACACGUGCUCAGGCCUGUUUUACUGAGGGAGAUUUGCCAAAAAGGUUCAGAGAUACCCACUGAGGAGGCCACUUAGCAAACCUCCCAGCAUCCUCAUUCCUGGCUCACUCCAGGGAUGGGGAAAUCACCCCUUCCUCAGACAGGCGUGGUGCCCCUCAACAGGGGUGGAGAUACUUUUGUCUGCAAUUUGCCUUCACUGGCUGCACCAAGAUGAGGGAGACAGACUAAGGAGUCCUCUCCAGCCCCUAAUGCAACUGUACUGGCCAAAAGUGCCAAAUAUUUUAAUGCAAACUCUUCUAAGCCUUAAGACACAGCACCAUGAUAUAAUACCAGUUUUACUAAAAUAAGGAAACUGAAGUUCAGCGAGGUCAAGUGGCAGGCACCAGAUCACAUAGCUAGAAAGUGGCAGUGAAUGAAUGAUCUAACGGAGUGACUGGAGACGUCUGAUGGUUCGGUGGGUUCAGACAGUGCACAGAGCCCGCGGCCUGGUCCCAGGAGAGCUGGACGACGCAGGCCCUCCGCACUCCCGGGCCCAGGGGAGCGCAGGCUCCCAGAGGCGCC
Molecule: long non-coding RNA, 1965 nt
Organism: Camelus dromedarius (Arabian camel)
Lineage: Eukaryota; Metazoa; Chordata; Mammalia; Artiodactyla; Camelidae
Exons: 3
Source: RefSeq, a predicted model, not a curated record